Molecule: ribosomal RNA, 446 nt
Filed under: uncultured bacterium
Lineage: Bacteria
Description: bacterial SSU rRNA
Rfam family: Bacterial small subunit ribosomal RNA
Source: RNAcentral
ACCAGACUCCUACGGGAGGCAGCAGUGGGGGAUAUUGCACAAUGGGGGAAACCCUGAUGCAGCGACGCCGCGUGAGUGAAGAAGUAUUUCGGUAUGUAAAGCUCUAUCAGCAGGGAAGAAGAAAGACGGUACCUGAGUAAGAAGCCCCGGCUAACUACGUGCCAGCAGCCGCGGUAAUACGUAGGGGGCAAGCGUUAUCCGGAUUUACUGGGUGUAAAGGGAGCGUAGACGGUAUGGCAAGUCUGAAGUGAAAGCCCCGGGCUCAACCUGGGAACUGCUUUGGAAACUGUUAAACUAGAGUGCUGGAGAGGCAGGCGGAAUUCCUAGUGUAGCGGUGAAAUGCGUAGAUAUUAGGAGGAACACCAGUGGCGAAGGCGGCCUGCUGGACAGUAACUGACGUUGAGGCUCGAAAGCGUGGGGAGCAAACAGGAUUAGAUACCCUAGUA